RNAcentral lists this ribosomal RNA (547 nucleotides) under Didymella glomerata. Its description in RNAcentral is "eukaryotic LSU rRNA". The stretch from base 189 to 342 matches the Rfam family "5.8S ribosomal RNA". Lineage: Eukaryota; Fungi; Ascomycota; Dothideomycetes; Pleosporales; Didymellaceae. The record is from RNAcentral.
UAAAAGUCGUAACAAGGUUUCCGUAGGUGAACCUGCGGAAGGAUCAUUACCUAGAGUUGUAGGCUUUGCCUGCUAUCUCUUACCCAUGUCUUUUGAGUACCUUCGUUUCCUCGGCGGGUUCGCCCGCCGAUUGGACAAUUUAAACCAUUUGCAGUUGCAAUCAGCGUCUGAAAAAACAUAAUAGUUACAACUUUCAACAACGGAUCUCUUGGUUCUGGCAUCGAUGAAGAACGCAGCGAAAUGCGAUAAGUAGUGUGAAUUGCAGAAUUCAGUGAAUCAUCGAAUCUUUGAACGCACAUUGCGCCCCUUGGUAUUCCAUGGGGCAUGCCUGUUCGAGCGUCAUUUGUACCUUCAAGCUCUGCUUGGUGUUGGGUGUUUGUCUCGCCUCUGCGUGUAGACUCGCCUCAAAACAAUUGGCAGCCGGCGUAUUGAUUUCGGAGCGCAGUACAUCUCGCGCUUUGCACUCAGAACGACGACGUCCAAAAGUACAUUUUUACACUCUUGACCUCGGAUCAGGUAGGGAUACCCGCUGAACUAAGCGCGUGAU